CCUACUGGACGCAGCAGUGGGGAAUAUUGGACAAUGGGGGGAACCCUGAUCCAGCGACGCCGCGUGAGUGAAGAAGUGUUUCGGUAUGUAAAGCUCUAUCAGCAGGGAAGAAAAUGACGGUACCUGAGUAAGAAGCCCCGGCUAACUACGUGCCAGCAGCCGCGGUAAUACGUAGGGGGCAAGCGUUAUCCGGAUUUACUGGGUGUAAAGGGAGCGUAGACGGCAGUGCAAGUCUGGAGUGAAAGACGGGGGCUCAACCCCCGGACUGCUCUGGAAACUGUAGGGCUGGAGUGCAGGAGAGGUAA
Molecule: ribosomal RNA, 305 nt
Filed under: uncultured bacterium
Lineage: Bacteria
Description: bacterial SSU rRNA
Rfam family: Bacterial small subunit ribosomal RNA
Source: RNAcentral